GCCCUUCCAAUGUACACAUACCAAAAUUGGAACGAUACAGAGAAGAUUAGCAUGGCACCUGCACAAGGAUGACACGCAAAAUCGUGAAGCGUUCCACAUUUUC
This 103-nucleotide small nuclear RNA is filed under the name Ixodes scapularis (black-legged tick). Lineage: Eukaryota; Metazoa; Arthropoda; Arachnida; Ixodida; Ixodidae. The record is from RNAcentral.